RNAcentral lists this non-coding RNA (64 nucleotides) under Burkholderiales bacterium. The record is from RNAcentral. RNAcentral also lists the same sequence under 4 other names. Lineage: Bacteria; Pseudomonadati; Pseudomonadota; Betaproteobacteria; Burkholderiales.
AGCCGAAACCCGCUGCGGCGGGUCGCGGCGGGUGGUUCCCGCCGCCUGAGGAUGGCAGCCACAC